ACGAACGCUGGCGGCGUGCUUAACACAUGCAAGUCGAGCGACGCGCCUUCGGGUGACGGAGCGGCGAACGGGUGAGUAACACGUGGGCAACCUGCCCUCAGCUCUGGGAUAACUCCGGGAAACCGGGGCUAAUACCGGAUACGACCUCUGCCGGCAUCGGUGGGGGUGGAAAGUUCUUCGGCUGAGGAUGGGCCCGCGGCCUAUCAGCUUGUUGGUGGGGUGAAGGCCUACCAAGGCGACGACGGGUAGCCGGCCUGAGAGGGCGACCGGCCACACUGGGACUGAGACACGGCCCAGACUCCUACGGGAGGCAGCAGUGGGGAAUAUUGCGCAAUGGGCGAAAGCCUGACGCAGCGACGCCGCGUGAGGGAUGACGGCCUUCGGGUUGUAAACCUCUUUCAGCAGGGACGAAUUCAGACGGUACCUGCAGAAGAAGCACCGGCCAACUACGU
Molecule: ribosomal RNA, 452 nt
Filed under: uncultured bacterium
Lineage: Bacteria
Description: bacterial SSU rRNA
Rfam family: Bacterial small subunit ribosomal RNA
Source: RNAcentral